UACACUCUUGAAGUGUAUAUAAAUGAAGUUGAUAGACAAUUAGAUAGAAAGGUCAAUAUCAUCAUAUCUGAAAAGGGUGAUAAAUUUUAUGGUAUUUAUGAUGAACCCAAUUAUAAUUCUUUUGCUAGAUUCUUGAAAAAAUAGGUAUAUGAUUUACCAGAUGUGUUACAGCAUAAUAUGAUUGCUGAAAGAUAUCAUCGUACCUUAUAGAUAUGGUUAUGAGCAUGAUAGACUAUUCUUUUGUACCCAAAUCAAUGUGAAAAGAAGCUCCAAGGA
RNAcentral lists this long non-coding RNA (276 nucleotides) under Musa acuminata (dwarf banana). Its description in RNAcentral is "long non-coding RNA (MACU_LNC003287)". Lineage: Eukaryota; Viridiplantae; Streptophyta; Magnoliopsida; Zingiberales; Musaceae. The record is from RNAcentral.